ACCUGGUUACCCGAGUGCGCGUUCGGUCACGUUCGGUCACCCAAUGUUUCCCUCAUGAGAAUACGCUCGAAAUGGACUUCGUGGGAAAAUAAUCUUCUUAAGAAAGAAAGCCGUGACGGAUUCAAGUUUAGAUCAUUGCUUCAAGACACAAGACAACAAAGGUGUACAAAUAACAUAAGAUAUAGCGGUGUGGUGGUCUAGCAAGCGACGAUUUCAUUAAAGUUUUUGUCGCCUUUGCCUUUUUUUCAUAUGCAAUAUGCAAUAAGAGUACAGGUUG
This is a long non-coding RNA of Nematostella vectensis (starlet sea anemone), 277 nucleotides long. RefSeq lists it as uncharacterized. NCBI's taxonomy places the organism in Eukaryota, Metazoa, Cnidaria, Anthozoa, Actiniaria, Edwardsiidae. The transcript has 2 exons. The record is from RefSeq and is a predicted model, not a curated record.